Molecule: ribosomal RNA, 411 nt
Filed under: Glomus sp. (unid)
Lineage: Eukaryota; Fungi; Glomeromycota; Glomeromycetes; Glomerales; Glomeraceae
Source: RNAcentral
CAGUCGUACUUGCGGAUAAUCAACCUUUAGAUGCGAUUUUGUGGAGCGUCAAGAGUUAAACGCCUUCAUGCCUGCAUAUUCGUAUACUUUGGGUGUACUUAUUCGUGUGGUAGGUUAACAUCAAUUUCGGUCGUCAUAAAAUGAUUGGAGGAAUGUAGCUUUGGUCUCGUAUCGAAGUGUUAUAGACUCUGGUAGAUGUGACGAUUGGGGAUUGAGGAUUGCAACGGGAUACCCUUCGGGGCUACUCGUCUGAUCUCUGAAGGUUGCUCCGGUGCCGAAAGCGUGCUUACGGUCAUCGAAAGUGAUUUUCAAAGGUUAGAACGGGUUAAAUUCGUUAAGGAUGUUGACGUAAUGGCUUUAAACGACCCGUCUUGAACACGGACCAAGGAGUCUAACAUAUAUGCGAGUGUU